RNAcentral lists this non-coding RNA (25 nucleotides) under Drosophila melanogaster (fruit fly). The record is from RNAcentral. Lineage: Eukaryota; Metazoa; Arthropoda; Insecta; Diptera; Drosophilidae.
AUCAGUUGAAAAUAUAUCUAUGUGG